GACGAACGCUGGCGGCGUGCUUAACACAUGCAAGUCGAACGGAAAGGCCCUGCGGGGUUCUCGUGUGGCGAACGGGAGAGUAACACGUGGGCGAUCUGCCCCGCACCUUGGGAUAAGCCUGGGUAACUGGGACUAAUACUGAAUAGGACUAGGCGCUCCUGGGGGUGUGGGGGGAAGCUUUGGCGGUGUGGGAUGGGGCCGCGGUCGAUCAGCUUGUUGGUGGGGUAAUGGCCUACCAAGGCGACGACGGGUAGCCGGCCUGAGAGGGUGACCGGCCACACUGGGACUGAGAUACGGCCCAGACUCCUACGGGAGGCAGCAGUGGGGAAUAUUGCACAAUGGGCGGAAGCCUGAUGCAGCAACGCCGCGUGAGGGAUGACGGCCUUCGGGUUGUAAACCGCUUUCGAUAGGGACGAAGCGCGAGUGACGGUACCUAGAGAAGAAGCACCGGCCAACUACGUG
This 462-nucleotide ribosomal RNA is filed under the name uncultured bacterium. RNAcentral's name for it is "partial 16S ribosomal RNA". It matches the Rfam family "Bacterial small subunit ribosomal RNA", at positions 28 to 507 of the family's 1533-position model. The record is from RNAcentral.